RNAcentral lists this ribosomal RNA (484 nucleotides) under uncultured bacterium. RNAcentral describes it as "partial 16S ribosomal RNA". It matches the Rfam family "Bacterial small subunit ribosomal RNA", at positions 30 to 507 of the family's 1533-position model. The record is from RNAcentral.
AUUGAACGCUGGCGGCAGGCCUAACACAUGCAAGUCGAGCGGAUGAAGGGAGCUUGCUCCUGGAUUCAGCGGCGGACGGGUGAGUAAUGCCUAGGAAUCUGCCUGGUAGUGGGGGAUAACGUCCGGAAACGGGCGCUAAUACCGCAUACGUCCUGAGGGAGAAAGUGGGGGAUCUUCGGACCUCACGCUAUCAGAUGAGCCUAGGUCGGCUUAGCUAGUUGGUGGGGUAAAGGCCUACCAAGGCGACGAUCCGUAACUGGUCUGGGAGGAUGAUCAGUCACACUGGAACUGAGACACGGUCCAGACUCCUACGGGAGGCAGCAGUGGGGAAUAUUGGACAAUGGGCGAAAGCCUGAUCCAGCCAUGCCGCGUGUGUGAAGAAGGUCUUCGGAUUGUAAAGCACUUUAAGUUGGGAGGAAGGGCAGUAAGUUAAUACCUUGCUGUUUUGACGUUAGCAACAGAAUAAGCACCGGCUAACUUCGUG